RNAcentral lists this microRNA (21 nucleotides) under Tetranychus urticae (two-spotted spider mite). Its description in RNAcentral is "tur-miR-3931-5p". The record is from miRBase by way of RNAcentral. Lineage: Eukaryota; Metazoa; Arthropoda; Arachnida; Trombidiformes; Tetranychidae.
AUUUGUACCGAUUCAUUGAUA